Myodes glareolus (Bank vole) is the source of this 673-nucleotide non-coding RNA. The record is from the annotation of a RefSeq genome assembly. Lineage: Eukaryota; Metazoa; Chordata; Mammalia; Rodentia; Cricetidae.
GUCCUGACGCUGCAGCUCUGGCAGAGGAAACAAACCCUGGAUUCCGAAGGCCUCCCAGUCAGGGUUCAACACUGAACACAGGACACUUACCAUGGAUAUAAGGCUCAUAUUGGUUUCCUUUGUUCUUAUUUUAAAAGGUGUCCAGUGUGAGGUUCAAUUGCUGGAGUCUGGGGGAGGCUUAGUGCAGCCUGGACAGUCCCUGAAACUCUCCUGUGCAGCCUCUGGAUUCACCUUCAGUGACUACUGGAUGGACUGGGUCCGCCAGACUCCAGGGAAGGGACUGGAGUGGGUUGCACGUAUUAAUAAUAAUGGUGGUAGCACCUGGUAUACUGAUGCUGUGAAGGGCCGGUUCACAAUCUCCAGAGACAAUGCCAAGAACACGCUGUACCUGGAAAUGAGCAGUCUGAAACCUGAGGACACAGCCACAUAUUACUGUACAAGAGACACAGUGAGUGAAUGCUACUGUGAGCUGAGACAAAAACACAUCUGUGGGAAACACGGGACCAGCAGGGGGCGCAGAGAGCACUUAGAGAUCUGGGUCACAGAAGAGCCUGCUCAGAGAAGUGUCCAGUGUGAGGUGCCACUGUUGGAACCUGAGGGAGACUUAGUACAGCCUUGGAAGUCCCUGAAACUCUCCUAUGCAGACUCUAGAUUCAUCUUCAGUGACUACUGA